Puntigrus tetrazona (Sumatra barb) is the source of this 67-nucleotide long non-coding RNA. RefSeq lists it as uncharacterized. The transcript has 3 exons. NCBI's taxonomy places the organism in Eukaryota, Metazoa, Chordata, Actinopteri, Cypriniformes, Cyprinidae. The record is from RefSeq and is a predicted model, not a curated record.
UUGGGAGGGAGUGUUUGGUUCAGGCUGAUGGUUAUGUUGGGAGGUUGUGUUAGGGGUGGGAUGUUGG